RNAcentral lists this ribosomal RNA (492 nucleotides) under uncultured bacterium. RNAcentral's name for it is "partial 16S ribosomal RNA". It matches the Rfam family "Bacterial small subunit ribosomal RNA", at positions 29 to 507 of the family's 1533-position model. The record is from RNAcentral.
AGUGAACGCUGGCGGUAGGCCUAACACAUGCAAGUCGAACGGCAGCACAGUAAGAGCUUGCUCUUACGGGUGGCGAGUGGCGGACGGGUGAGGAAUACAUCGGAAUCUACUUUUUCGUGGGGGAUAACGUAGGGAAACUUACGCUAAUACCGCAUACGACCUACGGGUGAAAGCAGGGGAUCUUCGGACCUUGCGCGAUUGAAUGAGCCGAUGUCGGAUUAGCUAGUUGGCGGGGUAAAGGCCCACCAAGGCGACGAUCCGUAGCUGGUCUGAGAGGAGGAUCAGCGACACUGGAACUGAGACACGGUCCAGACUCCUACGGGAGGGAGCAGUGGGGAAUAUGGGGCAAUGGGCGCAAGCCUGAUCCAGCCAUACCGCGUGGGUGAAGAAGGCCUUCGGGUUGUAAAGCCCUUUUGUUGGGAAAGAAAAGCAGCAGGUUAAUACCCCGCUGUUCUGACGGUACCCAAAGAAUAAGCACCGGCUAACUUCGUG